GCGUAAAGGGUCCGCAGGUGGUUUGGUGCGUCAUGGGUUAAAUCUACGGGCUCAACUCGUGGACCGCUCGUGAUACGACCAGACUCGAGAGUGGGAGAGGCAAGCGGAAUUACCGGUGUAGUAGUAAAAUGCGUUAAUAUCGGUAAGAACACCAAAUGCGAAGGCAGCUUGCUGGAACACUUCUGACACUCAGGGACGAAAGCGUGGGGAGCGAAUGGGAUUAGAUACCCCAGUAGUCCACGCCCUAAACGAUGGAUGCUAGAUAUCGGCAGUAUCGACCCUGCCGGUGUCGGUUAAAAUAGCUAACGCAUUAAGCAUCCCGCCUGGGGAGUACGGCCGCAAGGCUAAAACUCAAAUGAAUAGACGGGGACCCGCACAAGCGGAGGAGCAUGUGGCUUAAUUCGAUGGUAAGCGAGGAACCUUACCUGGGUUUGACAUGUAGCUGCAAUCCCGCAGAAACGCGGGACGCCUUCGAGGGUGCUACACAGGUGCUGCAUGGUUGCCGUCAGCUCGUGUCGUGAGAUGUACCGUUAAGUCGGGUAACGAGCGCAACCCCUAUCCCGUGUUGUAUGUUUCACGGGAGACCGCCUCGGAUAACGGGGAGGAAGGUGGGGACGACGUCAAAUCAGCAUGGCUCUUACAUCCAGGGCUACACACGUGCUACAAUGGUUGGGACAAAGCGUUGCCAAGCCGCAAGGCGGAGCUAAUCGCAUCAAACCCAACCUCAGUUCGGAUUGAGGGCUGCAAUUCGCCCUCAUGAAGCCGGAUUCGCUAGUAACCGUG
RNAcentral lists this ribosomal RNA (783 nucleotides) under uncultured Parcubacteria group bacterium. RNAcentral describes it as "bacterial SSU rRNA". It matches the Rfam family "Bacterial small subunit ribosomal RNA", at positions 558 to 1346 of the family's 1533-position model. The record is from RNAcentral.